UUGCAUGAUGUGGAGACCCAAAAUGGCUGAGGACUGCUGCUCAGUGCCCCAGCUCUGUUCACUCGCCUAGAGUUUCCUCAACAAGCCCUGCUGCUUCUGUCUUCUGAGCUCUGACCCACCAAGCCAUUUCCUCUACUUGGAGUGCUUUCCUUCCCUUUCUGCUUUUCCCUUCUCAAAACCAAGCUAAAACAUUGCCUGCUCUAUGAAACUUAUCCUAUCACCCUGUUCAGAUGCACAUGCCUUUCUUCUCUACUUUUGUGACACCACAUGCAGAUCUGUUCAUCAUAUUUUCUGGUAUUCAUUUGUUUAAAAAUAUGAAUUGAGAUACCACUAAAUGCCAGAUGCUAUAUUAAGUGCUAACUACAGUCUUGGUGAACAAAAAGGAAACCUGUGAACCUCACAUAGGAGUGAUUUUGCCCUCCAGGAAACCUUUGGCGAUAUCUGGAGACAUUUUUGGUUGUCAAAACUGAGCGGUGGUGGAGUGAUGCUACUGGCAUCUAAUGGAUGGAGGCACAGGAUGCUGCUGAACAUCCUGCAAUGCACAGAGCAGCUCCCCCACAACAAAAUAAUGAUCUGGCUCCAAACGUCAAUGGUUCCAAAGUUGAGAAAUCCUGCACUAAACGUAUGGUUCCCAAAGUGUGUGCUUAGACACCCCAGGGUGGACAUAGGAGUGCCGUAGGACAUUUUAAAGUGUGAAUGGAAACACAGUGGCAUCUGUCAAGCACUAAAUGAACUACUAACUCAAGAUAGUUCACAGUUUCAACAUUAGCUUUCUUUUUUUUUUUUUAAAUAAUGUCUCUUUGUAAAACUUGGUUUUGGAAGUUGCUGUGAUAAGAAUCAAAUACUUGGUGAAUAUCACUGUGGAAUAAGAAGUGAGAAUGGCAGUUUCCAAUCUGACUUCAAGGUUUGUGAAGUUGGGUAGUGACCAGAAGUUGUUGAGUUUUUAGGACGUAAAUAGUUAUUAAAUUGUUUGGACUUGACAACUCAAGAAACUCAAUUAUUAGGUAUAUCUUUUGGCCUAGGGGGUGUAGUAAAAAAUUAUGGAUAUGCCACGGGCACCAUAAAGCAGAAGGCUUGAAACUGCUGGGCUUGACUUUAAGUUCCUUGGGAAUAGGCAUUGUGUAUUAGUACUUUAUAUCUGCAGCACCCAAAACAGUGCCUGCUACAAGUGUGAGGUGCGAGAAUGCCAAACAGAUAUCCAUAAGGAGAUUGAGGGAAAUUUAAUAAAUUUAAGAAAUAAAAUGGCAGGUAUGAAAUGAAUGAAAGGGCACAUGUGCACUGUAGUGUCAAGAGAAUUAUAUGUUAAGUGGCAAAAUUCGACCUACUGGUUCACUAUGCACUACAACAUCCCUAAAUACCUCCCUACUUAUAUAGGAUAAAAUAAGAGAGGGGAAAAGAAUAAAGCUUGACUUUCUUAUUCUUUGGCCUGUGAA
Molecule: long non-coding RNA, 1433 nt
Filed under: Homo sapiens (human)
Lineage: Eukaryota; Metazoa; Chordata; Mammalia; Primates; Hominidae
Description: HSALNT0339473
Source: RNAcentral